Molecule: ribosomal RNA, 789 nt
Filed under: Triticum aestivum (bread wheat)
Lineage: Eukaryota; Viridiplantae; Streptophyta; Magnoliopsida; Poales; Poaceae
Description: partial small subunit ribosomal RNA
Source: RNAcentral
AUGUUAUUAUUGCCUCUAGGGCAUAUUUCCAUCAGCGGGUCCUUGCAAUUUCCCUUCCUCGAUGACAUGUUGGAUUUUGUCCCUCGGAGCUAUUCAAAAAAUAGAAAGUUUCCUGUUCAAUCAACCUAUGCUAUGGACUGGAAACACGAACAUGGGAGAAAACUUAGAAGAAUUGAUAAUAUGGGACAUUUAAUUAUUAAUCCUAUUUGGAGUGAGAUUUGGAAGUUAUCUUGCCCGUUGAAGGUAUUUUUUUCUUCAUAUUUUGCAUGGAACUCUUUGGCAAAUAGACACAUAAAAGUUUCUCCCAAUUUUCCUUCAUGUUCCUUUGGAUCGGAAGAUACAAAACAUAUGUUAUUUCAAUGUCACAAAGCAAAUGAGGUUUGGAAAGUGGCCAGGCUGGAUCAAGUCAUUAAAAUAGCUUGCAAAGUUGAUUAUGCUGGUGAGGCUGUCCUAGAAUAUUUACUUUCGAUACCUGAACAUGAGUUGGCUAUCUUGGGUAUUCAGAAUGUUCGUGGGAUGAUUGCAAUUGCUACUUGGUAUUUGUGGUGGGAAAGGCGAAAAUUAGUUCAUAAGGAGAAAACCCAAGAUGCUAACCAGAUUUCUAUGGGGAUUCACGCUAUUACAUUAAACUAUGUUAUAACUAUAUCACCUAAGGCUACUAUGAAAAGAGGGGGCUGGACACAACCUCCGAGGGGGUUUGUAAAACUUAAUGUGGUAUAUGCUCAUGUGUUGCCGAGUACAGCUGCAACAUUGCCGGAUAUUCAAGAAAACAGUCUAAACAACCCUUAA